RNAcentral lists this long non-coding RNA (1255 nucleotides) under Marmota monax (woodchuck). The record is from RNAcentral. Lineage: Eukaryota; Metazoa; Chordata; Mammalia; Rodentia; Sciuridae.
CCCCGCCACAUGCGCGCUGCGGGCCCCGUUUUCCACUCUCGCGGGGAGUUUUUGUUUCGUGAGCGGAAGUUCUGGGUUAAACCUGGUGAUUCGAAGUCUGACUGCCCUCCUGCCUGGUGCUAUCUCAGUCGUAGCAUCUUCACUGUAUUCUCCCUUCCGCCCCAGCAUCCCCAGUCGGCUCGGCGCGCGGCCGGAUUCCAGGCGUCAUGGCUCCUCGCUGGAGGAAGCGGAAGGCCGAGGCCGCUGCGGUCUCCACGUCGGAGAAGCGGGAGAAACUGGAGAACGGCAAGGAACAAGUAGAGGAGGCGGUCGUCAUUGAGCAUUGGUGAGCGCCCUGGGAGGCGCGGGCGGCGGCGGGAAGAAUGGCUGGCGUUGCAGCGGGGCCGCAGUCUGAUCUCCCCGUCUCUCCCUAGCACUAGCUGACGCGUCUACGGGCGCAACGCCGCGGCCCUGAGCCAGGCGCUGCGCCUGGAGGCUCCGGAGCUUCCCGUGAAAGUAAAUCCUUCCAAGCCCCGGAGGGGCAGCUUCGAGGUGACCCUGCUGCGCCAGGACGGCAGCAGUGAGUGCGGGCCGGAGCCUGGGGGGAGAGGGGCCUGGGUCUAAAGCUAAGAAGCACUAGUUUUGGAAACCGCGGCCAGCUGUUGACUUUAGAGAUGCUCUUGGAUUCCAAAGUAAUUUCGAUUUAUUCCCAGGUGCCGAGCUCUGGACCGGGAUUAAGAAGGGACCCCCACGCAAACUCAAAUUCCCCGAACCUCAAGAAGUGGUGGAAGAGUUGAAGAAGUACCUUUCGUAGGCGAUUUGGGCAGAAGUCCUCAUGCUGAGGUUUGAAAUGGAGAGGGAAUUAAUCUUGGGUAGCUUCUUGCAAAGGAGCCCAUACUGUUAUAAUUUAUUCCACACAGGAUCUAAAAGAGUGGUUUCCUACAGGGUGUGCCUUUUGCAAACCGUUUUCAUUUUCAUUUGAGUCCCUUUAUGCCAUAUUAUAGAACACUAAUGGUAACAUUAAUGAUUCUUUAUAGAAGCGUAAUUUGUAUACUUCCGGUUGAUUGUGGCCCUGGGGGUAUGAUCCAGUGUUGCUUUUGUUUGAAAAUUUAUUUCCUCAUUCCUGGUGGCUAUUUUAAUUCUUUGAACCAGUUUUAAAUCUUACUGCUUCCCAGAGUUAAAAUUUUUAACAUGUUUUUAUGUGGGUUAAUGAUUUUCCAUCUUUACUGGCACAUUACUGUACCUGCCCCUACACUUUUCUAGGGUUAUUUUGCCC